AUGAUGAGAAUAAAAUCCUCAACUUCUGGAGGGUGGGCAGAAGAGGGACCACUAGUAGUGAAGAGAAGAAAGAGUGAGAGGCAUCAGGAGAACAGGGAGAGAAGGCAGGGAAGACUGAGAGAUGGAGUUCCGCGGAUGGAAGCAUCCAUGUCAGUUGCAGCGCUUUGUUUCGUUCACUGCAUGUGUUGGUACCACUUGAUAAGCUGAGUCCCAGUGCCUCCGGCAGCUGGCCAGGAAGGGCACACGCUCUCCCACCCUGGGGCUGGUGCUCUUUUCCUCCACUGGGUCUGGCUCUUCUCUUUCUUAGAAGUGCUUUUGUGUGGCUGGAGGCCACAUGGCCCUCAGCACCUCCACCUGGCUCCAUCCUGUCUGGAUUAAACCCCUGAACAAAAAAAGGCACACCUGGGCCUUUGAUUUUGCUUCUGUUUUGAGCUCACUUUUGAUGGAGAAAAUGAGAUUAAAUGACUCAGCCCUAGAGAGAGGAUGGACUGUACUGAACUCCUGUUAAAGAAAUAAAGAAAGGAGAAGGUGGAAGUCUCAGGAGGAAUGACACUGUUUCAGAAGGAAACAGUGUUUCAGAAUAAAGCUGAGGAAAGAGUCAAUGUUUGAGGAAGUGCUGGAAGGUGACCGUUCCAAUCUUAGAAGCCCUUUGAAGUCGCCACCACAUUUCUCUAGAAAUUCUCAGGGAGGCUGAUUUGAUUAUUUACCUUUCUUCCAAUUCUACCCAGCACCCGUCGGAUAUAGUGAGGUAAGGAGACCUUCAAGAGGAAUGAGUCACCAUGAUAUCCUUCUCCUGAGAGCAGGGGCUAGGGUGAGGGGAAUGCUGAAUUUACUUUAGAAUGAAGAUGGCAGAAAGUAGACCAGACUCCCAGUGAUUGUCUCAGAAGGGGGUCCAAGCCUCUAGAUGAAACAAUAGCUUCCAGGUAUUUGUGAAAUUCACAGAACAACGUACCUUUCCCAGCUCUGUUAUUUUGGUUUUCCUUUGUAUAUUCCUCCUAGUGAUUAGCCAUAGAAGCUUUCAAUCAUAAAGACCCAUGUCCUGGCUUUGAGAUAGAAAUUGUGAUGACGGCAAAGAAAAGAGGUACUGUGUCUGACUCCACAGCCAAUGUUUAGGGGAGAAGAAACCCAACAGAUAGCAGCAAUUAAUUUA
RNAcentral lists this long non-coding RNA (1150 nucleotides) under Capra hircus (goat). Its description in RNAcentral is "lncRNA (ENSCHIG00010000569.1)". Lineage: Eukaryota; Metazoa; Chordata; Mammalia; Artiodactyla; Bovidae. The record is from RNAcentral.